This 279-nucleotide ribosomal RNA is filed under the name uncultured bacterium. RNAcentral describes it as "partial 16S ribosomal RNA". It matches the Rfam family "Bacterial small subunit ribosomal RNA", at positions 506 to 784 of the family's 1533-position model. The record is from RNAcentral.
UGCCAGCCGCCGCGGUAAUACGGAGGGUGCUAGCGUUGUUCGGAAUUACUGGGCGUAAAGAGCAUGUAGGCGGACUAUUAAGUCAGGGGUGAAAUCCCGGGGCUCAACCCCGGAAGUGCAUUGGAAACUGGCGAACUUGAGUACGGGAGAGGAAAGUGGAAUUCCGAGUGUAGGGGUGAAAUCCGUAGAUAUUCGGAGGAACACCAGUGGCGAAGGCGGCUUUCUGGACCGAUACUGACGCUGAGACACGAAAGCGUGGGGAGCAAACAGGAUUAGAUA